RNAcentral lists this ribosomal RNA (2691 nucleotides) under Chelonia mydas (Green sea turtle). Its description in RNAcentral is "eukaryotic LSU rRNA". The stretch from base 411 to 2691 matches the Rfam family "Eukaryotic large subunit ribosomal RNA", at positions 1 to 2324 of the family's 3401-position model. The record is from RNAcentral. Lineage: Eukaryota; Metazoa; Chordata; Testudines; Cheloniidae.
ACGUGAAACCGUUCGGGGGUAAACGAACGAGACCCGAUGAACGCGUCGGCGAGGACUCAGUUUCGUGUCGGACCCGCGGACCCGCGACGGUCGUUGUUUCCGUUGGUCGCGCGGCCGGCGUCUCCGCUCUCGGGCGGGGCGUCGGUUUUCGCGCGCGCCACGGCGGCCGUCCGGGCUCAGUCCGCCCGGCCGAACCGAUUUUCCUCGCCGCAGUGGAACGUCGCGACUCGCUGGGAAGCGGUCGACGCGGUCCGAGUGGAGCUCGGCGCUGACGAGUCCCCGGGAGGGGAGUGCUCCGAGUGGCGCCGAACCUCGGACUCGCUGGCCGGAGUCCCGGCGGUAGUUUCGAACGCACGCGGUUUGGAUACGCUUCUCCUCGUGUGGGGCGCGCCGAGUCGGCGGACGGUAUCUUUCUCGCGUCGGUGCGUGUUGACGCGGCCCUUGCUGGCCGUCUUCCGUGCCGGGUGACGGGGGCCGUUCGUCGGCGUCCGAUGGCGCCGUAUCCCGAACCAGUCGGCGACGACAACCCGAGUCGAGCUCUCGUUCGACCCGUCUUGUAACACGGACCAAGGAGUCUAACGUGUGUGCGAGUCGUUGGGUUCCGCGCCGGCGCCCCUAGUGACGUCGGCGCGACCGCAGACGAAACCCGUUGAGGCGAAAAGAAAUUGAAAACGAGUCCAGCACUCGUCGAGGGAAGAUGGCGACGGAUCCGGCCCCCCGUCACGGGGGGUUCCCCGAGCAGAUCGGCCCGCAUUCCCGGGGUGCCUCAUCCGCCGGUCGGCCGUCAAAACGCCGGCCGACGAGAGGUGCGCCCAGAGCACACACGCUAGGACCCGAAAGAUGGUGAACUAUGCCUGGCCAGGACGAAGUCAGGGGAAACCCUGAUGGAGGUCCGAAACGAUUCUGACGUGCAAAUCGAUCGUCUGAGCUGGGUAUAGGGGCGAAAGACUAAUCGAACUAUCUAGUAGCUGGUUCCCUCCGAAGUUUCCCUCAGGAUAGCUGGCGCUCGGAGGUGGUACGAACGAACUCAACUGAGUCUCUUCCGGUAAAGCGAAUGAUUAGAGGCCUUGGGGCCGAAACGACCUCAACCUAUUCUCAAACUUUAAAUGGGUGAGAACCCCGGCUUGCUCGAGAUGUUUGAAGCCGCGGGCCUUGGAUCACUUGAGUGCCAAGUGGGCCAAUUUUGGUAAGCAGAACUGGCGCUGUGGGAUGAACCAAACGCCGAGCUACGGCGACUAAAUCGACGCUCAUUGGAGACCAGAAAAGGCGUUGGUUGCUACCGACAGCAGGGCGGUGGCCAUGGAAGUCGGACAUCCGCUAAGGAGUGUGUAACAACUCACCUGCCGAAGCAACUAGCCCUGAAAAUGGAUGCCGCUGAAGCGUCGUGCCUAUGCUCGGCCGUCAGUGGCAGAGUGGGCUGUCCGGUACGCGUACCGGCCCGGCAGACCCGGUAAGCCCUGACGAGUAGGAGGGCGCAGUGGUGUGCGCAGAAGGGACCGAGCCGUAAGGCCGCCUGGAGCCGCCACUGGUGCAGAUCUUGGUGGUAGUAGCAAAUACUCGAGUGAGAGCCCUGGAGGGCUGAUGUGGAGAAGGGUUCCUUGUGAACAGCCGUUGCACAAGGCUCAGUCGAUCCUAAGUCCUCGCCAAACAGCGAUGCUAUAAGCAGUGGUUCGUGUUGAUUUUGUGUUGAUUGUGUUUUCGCAAAAGCAUAACAACAACGAAAAUUGUAACCGCCACGGACGAAAGGGGACGCGGUCCCCAUUCCGCUACCUGGACGCGGAACCGCUCUCAUGUUUCGUGGCCCUCGUCCGACGUGUCGCCGCUUCAACGCGCGCGCACGCUCGGCGUAGGCCUCGUCGGGGUAACCCGAAAAGACCCGGAGAAGCUGAGGGGAGCUCCGGGGAGAGUUAUCUUUUCUGUAUCAGCGUUGUAGCUGCCUGGAAUCCUCUAGCAGGGAGAUAGGGAGCCGAACGCGGAGAGCACCGCAGUUGCUGCGGUGUCCGGAGCCUCCCCCUCGGACCGUGAAAAUCCGGGAGAGGGCCACGCGAAGUCUCGCGCCAGGUCGUACUCAUAUCCGCAUCAGGUCUCCGAGGUGAAGAGCCUCUAGUCGUAUAGACUAAUGUAGGUAAGGGAAGUCGGCAAAAUCGAUCCGUAACUUCGGAAUAAGGAUUGGCUCUGAGGAACGUGGUCCGUCGGGCUUGGUCGGGAAGCGGGUUAGCGCCUACGAGCCGGGCCUGUGCGAGGUGAAGUCCGGUUGCCGCGCGGCUUUCGUGCGCGCGCGCGCCCGGGCGCCUUCGGGUGUCCGGUGUGCGUGUCGUGCGGAGUCGCCGGUCGGUUUCGGAUCCGAGCACGGUCCCGUGCCUAGGCACCCCGCGGAGCUUCCUCGCUGCGAGACCCCGGGUUCUGUUGGGCGCGGGGUUCACGCCCCGCGUUCGCACCGGGCGCUUCUCUUCGGCGGCCAUGUAACGGUCAGCUCAGAACUGGCACGGACAAGGGGAAUCCGACUGUCUAAUUAAAACAAAGCAUUGCGAUGGCCCCAAAGGGUGCCUGACGCAAUGUGAUUUCUGCCCAGUGCUCUGAAUGUCAACGUGAAGAAAUUCAAGCAAGCGCGGGUAAACGGCAGGAGUAACUAUGACUCUUUUAAGGUAGCCAAAUGCCUCGUCAUCUAAUUAGUGACGCGCAUGAAUGGAA